GGGAAAAUCAAGGGAAAAACGAACGACAUGACGAGAAUCUGGAUCAGUGUUAACUUCGACUUCGUACCUUCACUCGGUGACUCGGACAUUAAUGUUUUUUUAGUAAUUGAGAGUUGAAUUAACCAUUGAGCGUUUUAAUUAAUAUUGCGAGUUCCCACAUUUUUUCAAAAUGAUCGACCCAGAAGCUUUCCUGGACCUUGCCAAUCAGGUCACCAAGUUAAAGAUGUGGCCAUAUUUUGAUAUUGCCCAUUGUAUAAUGGCCUGCUUGGCUGUUAGAGAAGAUUUGGGAACUGGAUCUAUCCCAUUUUCUAGGAAACACCCGAUAGCUUGCUGGCUGUCCACCAUGAUGGUGACUUUUGCUGGAGGUUUUCUGGCUGCCCUUUUCCUUGGUGAACCACUCCUGGAACCAUUUAGAAACACACAAUCUGUUUUGCUAGCUACUGCUGUCUGGUAUGCUAUGUUCUACUCACCAUUUGACAUUAUCUACAAACUGUCAAAGUUUCUCCCUAUCAAAAUAGUGAUUGCAGCCAUGAAAGAAGUGUACAGAUGUAAAAAAGUAUAUGAUGGAGUAAAUCAUGCUGCUAAACUAUUCCCUAAUGCUUGGAUGAUUUUGUUCAUUACUGGUUUAGUUAAAGGUAAUGGUGGAAGUUUCAUCAAAAUCUUGGAGCGCCUUGUCCGGGGUGUAUGGACUCCGACUGCCUUUGAAUUCCUGCAGCCGAGUUUCCCAACUAAGGCCUGUAUAGUAGCCUCAAUCAUCUUCGUUUUGGACAAGAAAACCGAGCUGAUCUCUGCCCCCCAUGCUUUGGUCUAUUUCGGAAUCGUUAUUUUCUUUGUUUAUUUCAAGUUAUCCUCUCUUUUGCUCGGAAUUCAUGAUCCGUUCAUUCCCUUCGAGAAUCUGUGUUGCGCAGUGUUUUUCGGAGGCAUAUGGGAUUCUAUGCAGCGCGCGGUUGGCGGUGGAAGCAAAAGUACCGAUCCUAACGCCAAGAAUGAAGUCCGAGCUAGUAAGACUGAUGAUGGCCAAACGCAUGCCCAUAAGAAGAGCGAUUGAUGUAGCUUCACUAGGCGUAUUUUACUCAAAUGUUGGUUUUUAAUCUGGUAAAUUGUUGGGGACUUGAAUUAAUAUGUAAGUUAAGCAAUGUAAAUUAGUGCCUUACAGUAGUAAUGAUCGGCAUGAAAAGGUACUCCAAAAGUAUCAUGUGCAUCGUAUUUUUCAUUAUUUUUUUUUUUAUUGUUAUAAUUUUUACAGUGCACUGAUAAAUACCGCUUUAUCCUGUAGAUUUACGCAUGAACCGUUAGGUGUAUGGAUUAAUAGCUCAAUUAUAUGUUAGGCACUUGGCUACGAAAUUAGAUUAAUAUGUACGUGUUACCACAAAUUCUUCAACUGUGCACAAUUGUGAAUGCAUUUUCUGCAAGUACUGCGUUGGGUUAGAUUCGUGCAUUCUGACAAUUAACUGCCGUCUCACACUGACAAGGAUCAAAUCGAGUUGCCAAUCCGUCUUCACUGUUUUUUGGUUUCCCCCCACUUCAAAUCUGUUAAAUCAGAUUACUGGAUUGAUCCGUCUUUUAUUUAUUGUCUUGUUUAUUUACAAAUAUUUUGCACUAAUUUCUUUGUGCACUUUACAGUUUUCUUUGAAUGAUUCUAAAUUUUGUUUUCAUAUUCUUUUAUAUCUAUGCAUGAUGAUUAGGAAAAUGUUGACUUUUAUUUCAAGCUAGUCGCCCUCUAAGUUAUGGUGUACUUUAAUUAAUUUUUUUUUUAAAGUUUGGUGCGAGAGGACUGAUUAAUGUAACAUAGUCGUAUUUGAUACCUGUAAAAGUGUGAAUCAUAAAGCCUUGACCCAAUAAAGCCACAUACCUAAAA
This is an RNA transcript of Daphnia pulicaria, 1858 nucleotides long. It is a transcript of the gene named trimeric intracellular cation channel type 1B.1-like, with no coding region annotated. The transcript has 8 exons. Lineage: Eukaryota; Metazoa; Arthropoda; Branchiopoda; Diplostraca; Daphniidae. The record is from RefSeq and is a predicted model, not a curated record.